This 292-nucleotide ribosomal RNA is filed under the name uncultured bacterium. RNAcentral describes it as "partial 16S ribosomal RNA". It matches the Rfam family "Bacterial small subunit ribosomal RNA", at positions 505 to 796 of the family's 1533-position model. The record is from RNAcentral.
GUGUCAGCAGCCGCGGUAAUACGUAGGUGGCAAGCGUUGUCCGGAUUUAUUGGGUUUAAAGGGUGCGUAGGCGGUCCACUAAGUCAGUUGUGAAAUACGGCAGCUUAACUGUCGAGGUGCAAUUGAUACUGGUGGACUUGAGUACUGAUGAGGUAGGCGGAAUGGACGGUGUAGCGGUGAAAUGCUUAGAGAUCGUCCAGAACACCGAUAGCGAAGGCAGCUUACUAAAGAGUAACUGACGCUGAGGCACGAAAGUGUGGGGAUCAAACAGGAUUAGAAACCCUCGUAGUCC